CCCUNAUUAUUCNAUANAUUCANUCNUGUUUNNAGAAGAUNUAUUUUCUUUAAUAUAAAGCCAGGUGGCUGUUAAAGUUUUUUAGAGAAGCAUGUAGUUAGACCAAAUUGCACGAAAAUCUUAUCUUUUUUAAAUCAUGUCGUCCACCGCCGUCUGAAGAUAGAAUUAAACGGUUCAACUUUUUCUAUUUGGAUAUAAGUCAGGUAAAGGCGCGCAUUAUAAAAAGGUUUAUAUGUGCCUCUUUUUUGUUUUUAAUGGAUAUUUUUUUAUAAAUUUAUUGAAAUUGAAUCUAACAGUAAAGAUAAACACAAAAUUGUCUUGAAUUAUAAACUUUAAGGUACACAUCGCCC
Molecule: ribosomal RNA, 350 nt
Filed under: Falcolipeurus marginalis
Lineage: Eukaryota; Metazoa; Arthropoda; Insecta; Psocodea; Philopteridae
Description: partial 12S ribosomal RNA
Source: RNAcentral